RNAcentral lists this long non-coding RNA (1357 nucleotides) under Androctonus crassicauda. Lineage: Eukaryota; Metazoa; Arthropoda; Arachnida; Scorpiones; Buthidae. The record is from RNAcentral.
UAUGAUUAUUUUUUAAUAAUAAUUGGACAUUAAAGUUGGGGAAUUUUUUGAGAAUAAUAAUAAAAGAGCAAAUGCAAUUGUCCAAGAUUAAUAUGAAUAAAAAACAAUAACGAAAAAAUCAUUGAAAUGAGUGGACGUGAUGUUCCUUAAGCAAGUUGCUAAUAUGGAAAGUUUGCCUAUAAAACAAUGAAAUAUACAUUUCAAAAAUCUGUUCCCAUCCAUCAAGGUAGAAUCAGCAAUUUUACUCCUUUACAGGUUAAUUUUAGAAAAUCUAGGCAACAAACUUGAAACGAGCAGAAGUCCACAAGCUUUGUAACAUGGUUUGUUUUGCUUCUUAUUUUGCCUGUGCAGAACAGUCCUUUAAACAAUCAAGAGGCAUAUAAUUGGAUAUCCAAUGGUUGGAGUAAUCAUUGAGCUCAUACUAAAGCAUAAAUAUUCAUUUUAGAAAAGUAUUUGUUCUAUCUGAGAUGUUGAUAAACAUCUUCCUUGUCACAAAAGAGCAGGACACAGUUAAGUGGCUAAUAGAUAAUGUGACAGAUGAUUCCCUUGGCAUUCCCUAUAAUUAUAGCAAAUUAACAGUGAUGAAGUGCUUUUAAUUUGUUCUAAUUCCAAUUUAGUUUGAUAGUUUUCCUGCUACAACAAUUAGUAUAUAGAAAGCUGACAAUCAGGACAAUUUACAUCAGAAAUGCAUCUUAUGAUCCAGAACAAUUCAAACUUUCUCCUUUCUAUCUCUCUUUAAGAGGGCUCUGACUCACUGUUCCAUAACAAGAGAUACAAAAUGAGGAAGUGCAAAAAAUAAUAUAGCAAGGAGUCAAGUAGAACUACUUUGCUGAGAGUCUAUUGCAAGUCUUACACAGAAAGAAAGAAGCAAACUGCCCUGUCAGAGAACUGUGCUAUGUCAGUUGUGAAUACCAAUAUUUGGCCUUAAAGUACUGUACUCAAUUGAAAAGAAUUUAUGGAAUUUAGAAAAACUAGCAGAACAGAGUGCCACAUACAAAAGAAAUAACAAAAUUUUCCAGCAACUGAAAAACAAUAAGCCACCAAUUCAAUCCAACAUGAGAUCAAGCAUUUAUCAAAUCCCAGUUAGAAAUAAUCUCAAAAGAGAAAUAUACAUAGGAUACAUGAUCUGGGUGCAUAAAUGCAAUUUUUGCACCCAGAUCAAAGAACAUCAACGAGAUGUUAGAAAACUAAUCUGUUCAAUGCCAUGCCUUACUCACUUGACCAAUAAGAGAAUGCCAAUCAGAUAUAUAUUAAGCCUAACAGACAUUUGAAUAAAUUUAAACACUUAUUUAUUUCAACUUUUAUGAAAUAUUAUUAAUUUUUAUAUAUGAUAUUAAUCAAUAUAUUUAGUUUAUCA